UGAGGAAUAUGGAUUAAUAUUUAAUGUCAGCCAUGUUCCCACACCAACCAUCUGCUGAAAGGUAGCAGAGGUAGUGAGCUCCACAGGGGGGGGUCCUGCUUCAAAGCCAGCCAGAUGGCAGAGAGCCUUUAGCAGUCCACCUUUGUUUACAAUUUCUCACCUCCUUUCAGCCAUCCAGGGAACAGGAAAAAUUU
Molecule: long non-coding RNA, 194 nt
Organism: Bufo bufo (common toad)
Lineage: Eukaryota; Metazoa; Chordata; Amphibia; Anura; Bufonidae
Exons: 3
Source: RefSeq, a predicted model, not a curated record